RNAcentral lists this long non-coding RNA (42367 nucleotides) under Vitis vinifera (wine grape). RNAcentral's name for it is "long non-coding RNA (VVIN_LNC002777)". The record is from RNAcentral. Lineage: Eukaryota; Viridiplantae; Streptophyta; Magnoliopsida; Vitales; Vitaceae.
GAGCUAUGGAUACUCUCUAACAGCCUAUACAUAGAACAAAACCAUUUUGUUCUAUCUUACAACCAAAGGUUGAACUGAGAAUGUUACAUAUACAUUAACCAACCAUCUUUGAAGAACUCGUGCUUUUACCGCCUUUGGAAGUUAAAUGCCUUGAUGGCAAAGGCAAAGAUAAAUAAGAAAAGUACUGUAAACCCAACAAUCACAGCUGCAACCACUCCUAGAAAAUCAUGUUCGAAUCCAAAAUAGUCAUUCAAGUAUUGUUCCACUGUGUCACCUGUGUCCUCAAAUCUGUCCUGUAUAUCUCCAAACUGUGAUGUAACCAAUCCAUACAAAGUCCAUGCAACUGGACAUGCCCAAUAGUACCAUCUCCACCACACAGGAAUCCUCUGUAUUCAUCAUGGAAGAAAUGCAACAAAAUGAGUCAUUUCCAUAUCCAUGUGCUAAAGAUAGUUGCAAUUUAAAGAAUAAUGAGUUGAGAGAACUUACGGUUCGAGGAACUAUAAAACCUGAAAAUAAGUUCCAUAAUCCAUAAAAUGCUGCAGCAACGAUGGCAGCAAUAUGUUGAUUUGGUGUGGCAGCCACAGCCAUCAUGCCAUAAAAGGUGAAGUACAGUAAGGUGAAGAACAUGAAGAACAGAUACCAGAAGAACUUAGCAGCUGUCCAUUCAAAUCCAAUCAUUGCAUAAACUAUAACACCAUACACCACAGCUUGUGCAAAGACAUAUGGUAUCUCAACUAGAGCCUGCAACAAGAGAUGAAAUUUGAUUAAUAAAACCCAUAAAGUGUUAGAGAUAGACAGUCCAUAGCAUAAGAAAACUAGUUACAUGUGCAAAGGCAUAUGGCAUAGCUGAAUAUAUUCCUGCAGCUCUUUCUCUGUAAAAGACAGUCCGUUCAACUGCAACGACUGGCUGCACCGAUGAGGAAUUUUGAACCCCAAGGAAGAGAACAGCAGCAUACAUAGAACCCAUUGCAUUACUCAAAUCUUGUUGUUUUGUCCUGCAUUUUACCAUGUGAAGUAUGAAUUAAAGUUGAUACAGAGAAACAUACUGAGUUCUCAAAAUCCUGUACUGGGUUCAAAUUACCUUUUGGUGCCGAGAUCCCAGAACAUUGUCCCAAAUAUCAAGGCUAUGAAAGUUGUGAAGAAAAAUCUCACUGCCGUGUAUGGUGGAUUGCGCCAAUAUGACCUACGCUGUUUCCAUAAGCAUGCCAUACAUUGGGUGAAGAAGGACUGGGAGUAUUGAGUAGGGAAAUAGAGGUCCUUUGAACCAGGGGCAGGUUGGCUCAAUUCUUUAAUUAAAUCUUUGUUUCUCCUGAAACAUAUGCCACAUCAGAAAAGGCUUCAAUAACCAAUUCAAGCUUGCAUGAUGAACUUUGAGAUGUGUAUACAUGAGAUUUCAAUAUCAUAAUGCUUUCAGAUAACCUAUAGUUGAAUCACCUGUAUAGGUUCGAAUUUUUGUAUAUUUCAGUGAAAUCCACCCCCAACAAGAAUUCUUGUGCCGAAGUGGUAACUUCCAGCAUCCAAGUUGCAGGGUUAUAACCACCUUUGAUUUUACUCACUCCUUCAAUUCCCUUAAUGAUAGCAAGUCACAUGUAUUAGUAAGCACUUGAUAUGAAUUAACUCAAACUAAAGUAUUUGCUGCUUAUAGCUUUUACUUUAUCAUGGCAGCUUACCUCAAAAUACUUUAUCAGACAAGAAGAAUGUCUACCCAGUAGUCCCACAUAUAUCUCUUGUCCUCCUCGCUUCAGCAGGAGCAACUGCAAAUCCAUUUUAAAUAUUUCAGUACUUAUAUGCAAAGCUCAUAGAAGGGAAACUAUAAAUUCUUUCUAUCCAUUAACAUUUCCUACCUCAUCAAAGGCUUCAAAGAUGUCAAUACUUGGCUGAUGGAUGGUGCACACAACUGUUCUUCCUGUGUCCACUGUGUUCCUGACUGUUCUCAUAACAAUUGCAGCAGCUCUUGCAUCUAGCCCUGAAGUUGGCUCAUCCAUGAAUAUUAUUGAGGGAUUUGCCACAAGCUCAACUGCAAUGGUCAGCCUCUUGCGCUGCUCUGUUGAGAGACCAUUUACACCUGGCAACCCAACUAGUGAAUCCUUCAAUGGGGUCAGUUCCACGAGCUCCAUGACUUUCUCAAUGAACAUCUGUAACCAUUAGAUAGGAUUAGAAAUUGUUUAAAAAAAAAAUGCGAAGCCAUAGCAGAGAUGGUAAAAAAAUUGACACUGCUUGUGACUCUUUUCAGUUAGCAGGUUGUGAACAAGUUUCUCUAGUCUUAUUAAACAGAUCAGUUCAUGGUUGCCAAUGCUCAAUAACACCUAUUAGCAUGCAUGAACUUCACCAACUUGGAUUCCAGGUCAACCAAAUUUGAACCAGCACCUUUCCCCAGGGUGAAGUUCAAGCCAAACUUGAACCUGAUCUAAGCCCAACCAAGUUUGAAAAAUCAAUUCUAGGGCUUUACUUGUUCAGAGCCCUCAAUUGAAUAAGACAAAUGUGGAAAGAACUCAGGAAGACCUCACCUUUCUAGUUUUAGAAUCCACAUCAGCAGGCAACCUCAGCCAAGCAGAGUAGAGCAAGGACUCAUGGAUAGUAACAUGAGGAGAGUGGAUGUCAUUCUGCUCACAGUAUCCAGAAAUUCGAGUAAAAGUCUCUUGCUUCUUUGGGUAGCCAGAAAUGUUGAUGUUACCCUCAAUAUAUCCACCAGUUUUCCGACCAGCCAGUACAUCCAUGAGAGUGGUUUUACCAGCACCGCUAACACCCAUCAGAGCUGUAAGAACACCAGGCCUGAAAGCACCACUCACCCCCUUUAGAAGCUUCAAUCUGUCUUCAAGGACACCCUGACUUUUCAUUUCCUACAAAUUCAAUUCAAACAACUUAGUUCUCAUUUUCGGUUUAUUAGUGCUGCUAAAGCAUGUACAUUAUUUGUAUUAAUAUGGAGUUACCUCUGGCAUGUCAACUGAGUAUCUAAUAUCAUCAAAGGUGAUAGAAAGUGGUUGGAAUGGAAGAACCAUUCCUCUUUUGGUGUUACGUCUAGCCUCAGCAAUGGCUUCUGCCCUCACAGAUGAGGAUGUGGAUGAGAUGCUUCUCCCAAUUUCGUCUCUCCUCUCUGCAUGUUAAGUUUAAAAUUAGUGAGCCAUGUAAAACAUGUGGUUAAAUGACAAGAACAAAGGCACACAUGCACCAUGAAUGAGUUUCAUCACCUGUGGAUGCAGUUUGGUCAAUCGAGCCUCGUCUAUGGGAUGAUAACUCGAUCUUUCCUCCAGUUUUGGAAUUCUCAGACUCUUCUGUUAUAACAGCUUGAGGCUUCUCAAAUGCUGCACAAUUUGCACAAAUCUUAGUACACUAAUCUCCAAUAUUUUAGGAUUUUCAACACAGAGAAUGUAAGGAUACCCACCAUUUAGGUAAGUGAGAGCCACAGUGUAACAGAAGUUGAAGACUAAAAUGAAUCCAAGCAGUGCCCCAGCUCCUAUCCAGUACCAGUAUGCCUCUGUGAAGAACCCGCGAGACUUCAAUACUGCUACUCCAAGGGAUUCUGUUGAAUUGGUUGAAGAAUUCUGAAAAAUGGAAAUACAUUCAAUCAUGACACAAAUAAACACAAAUAUUGAUAUGAAACAUUCAUAAACUUACUUUGCUCCAACUCUUCCCAAGGAAUUCAUUUACCACUAUUGCGUUCUGUGCAUACAUCAGAGGGGAAGACCAGUAACCCCAAAUCCACCAUUUCUUGACAUUUUCUACAGCAAUGACCAAAUACAAGAAGGAAACAAAAAUUCAUUAUUAGGGUUUAUGAACAAGAAGGUCCUAGUUUCCUAAAAAAAAUCUUUCCUCCUUAUACCUCGUGACAGGACAAAACCACCCAAUGCAAAGAGCAAAAGUAAUGAAAAUGACCCAAAUGUGUUUGCAACAAUCAUGUUUCUACCAGCUGCUGCAAUAAAUCGAAACAAUGCAGAUGCCAUCUGAUUAACAAGCACGAGGAGAAGAUAUUGUUUAAACAGCCUGCAAUAAGAAGAUUUGUUUAUUGAGCAUUGAUCAUUUUGGAACAAAGAAAACAUUUGAAACAAAUCUGGACAUGUUUCUUUUACCUUCCCACAUUUGGAUCAAAUCCAAUGACAUAAUAAGACAUGAACACCCAAACAGCAACUUCAACAAAUGUGAUGGGGAUCUUGAGGAUCCAUGAGGAGAGAGCAUAUGCCCAUGCAGGGUAGAAUAGUAGGCCUCUUUGCUUGUAAAAGACAGGAAGUUUUGCAAUGGUCAUGGCAAGUUCUGACAUUCCAUUAAACAUGAUCAUGACAACAGUGAAGAACAAAGCACCCAUGUAAAUGCUUCCAUCAUCUGUUGAAUUUUUGUGCAUCUCAGUUCUUAGGAAGAUUGUCAUGGAAAUUGCUGCCAUUAUUAUGAGCUAAAAGAAGAAACAAAAAUAAUGAAUUACGAUCAAAUGUACAAAAUUAAAAGCCACUGUUAUGAGUAACAACAAUAAUAAUACUCACUUGGGUGAGUUGUAAAAUAUAGACAAAUGAAUUCCUCUUCAUCAGCCAGUACUCUCUUGAGAUGCAAGCAUCCAACAGUUCCUUCUUUCUAACACCAUAUUUUUCAGUUUUCAAAGCAGCUGGGUGGCUUUUGGUCUUGUCGAAUGGAGUUGCAAGCUCAUCUCCUACUUUCCGUCCACUGUGAAAUGACUGGAAUGCCUCAGCAAAUUGCUUGACUGUGACAAAACUAUAAGGCUCAUCUUUACGUGCCCAAUACUGCUGCUGAUCUUUCCUAGAUGUUACCUGUAAUCAAUUUUAAAAUUCAUGUUCUAGCUUGAUUUUUUCUAAAGAAGGAAAAAAAAAUAUGAGAAGAUGCCUAAAGGUACAAAACUAUUAGCACUCACUUCUUGUAGGAAGUCUGCCACACCCUUCCUUUCAGGACAUCUGAAGCCCAUGGAUUCAAAAAAGUCAAGAACGUCUUCACGAGGACCCUGAUAAACAAUCUGGCUAUCAGAGAGGAGAAUGAUGUCAUCAAAAAGAUCGUAAGUCUCAGGUGCUGGCUGCAGGAGAGAGAUGAGAGCAGUCCCAUUGAGAAUGUGGAUGGUUUGCCUGAGAGAAUUCACGAUUUGAUAAGUUGUCGAGCUAUCCAAGCCAGUAGAGAUCUCAUCCAUGAACAGUGCCUUCGAUGGUCCAACCAGCAUCUCCCCUAUCAUUUAUAUAUUUCACAGUUGAAUUAACUUAAAUUAAUGAACGAAAAAUUCUAAUUUAUUUUAUUUGGUUGGAAACCAAAUUAUCCUACCAGUUGUGACACGCUUCCUUUGUCCUCCAGAAAUACCCCUUAUCAUUUGAUCCCCUACCAAGGUGUCUGCACAGACUUCUAGUCCCAGAAUCUGUAAAUUUAAGUGUAAAUGAAAAUAAACAAAUUAUGACUUAGAAUUGGGUUUUCUCAGAAAUCUGCAUUCCAUCAUUGAAAGUUCUAUGGUUAUGAUACCUUCAGUGUAUAGUCAGUGAUCACAUUCUCCUUCUGGCCUUCCGUUGCCGCUGCCUGAAAUAUUAAAAACCAAUAAUGUAAAUCUCACUCACCAUCAAACCAAUAAGUACCUUAAGAUAUUCCAAGGACAAAAGAUUUUGCUCUGCAGAACUGGUUAAAAUUUCACUCAAAGUAGCUUCUGUCUCACCUUCAUGAAGACAUCGAUAUCAGGAUCAGGCUUAAUAUUUGCUGCCUUCUCUCUUCUUGAGAGCUCUGCUAACAUGUCUGCGAAUAGCCAAAUAAAAGUCAACCUCCUGGCUUAUGCAAAUUUCAUAUAACUAAAUUCACAAGCUUCAAAAACAAAGAAAAUAAAAGUAAAAGGCAAUGAAUGGUUUAGACCAACCAUAUCGAUCUCCAACACCCUGGCAUCUUGCAGAGAAGGCCAAGGUUUCCCGUACAGUCAUUUCUCCUAUAUGGGUAUCAUGUUGGCUGAUGUAGGUUGCAGUUCUCUGGGGUACAAAUUCAUUCAUGCCAUGACCAUUGUAUGUCACCUUUCCCGUAACCUAAAGAAGGAAUUUCAGUUUCCAAAUUGGAUAUGAGAUUAAACAGCUGAAAAUGGAAUAUUCAUUAAAGAACAAAAGCAAUAAUUUUUUUUUUCAUUCAACCUUUAGACUGGAAUCAAGCUUUCCGGACAAAGCCAAUAACAGAGUGGUCUUUCCAGAACUGGGAGGACCCAAAAGCAGUGUCAUUCUGCAGAAAAAAAAUAUGCACAAAAGAUUGAGUAUGGAUCUUCAGGAUAUUCUAAAUUGGAGAAAGUAAAAAAAUCAAUUUGAUAUAUAUAUAUCAAUUAAUUUUUUUUCAAAAAAAAAAAAAAAAUCAUAUUCUCACCUUCGAGGUUUGAUGAUUCCACUAACAUCGUGAAGAAUAGUGAAUUUCUUCUUUCUACUCGGAAGAAUCCGAAGAGUGUUCAAGAUAUCCUUGAAAACAGAAAGAAAAAUUAUAAUCUAAAAACAAACUUACCCAAGAGAGUAUUUAUUGCUUAGCCAGUGAUCUGUAUUUGCAUUUUAGUUACCUCAAUUUGAUUAAAAGCAGAAUUAAUGAAUGAAGGCAAAGCUCUGCUUCCUACAUGAGCUUCUGCAUCAAUGGUAAGAUGCUCAAAUCUAACUUCAAUUUCGGGAAGAUCAAUCCCAACUCUGAAAAAUGAAAUAGACAUGCAAACCCAUUACUAAAAAGUCAAAGGAAGAUGUUUGGUUGUGAAGAAAAUGCAGGACUAUCAGUCACAUUUAAGGUGAAUUCUUUCUUUUCCACUGUUUUCAAUGUUAAAAAAGAAAAAGAAAAACGGCAAGAAACGCAAGAGAAGAGGAGAAAUCGCACCUAUCUAUACGAUUCCUGAGCUUCAACAAGAACUUCUCAUUGUCCUCUUCGGCAAUUUUCACCAACCGCUCCACUAAGUUCUUCUUUUCCUGAAACCCAAGGUUGUGUAUAUCAACUUCACUGGCCUCACCCGCCGAACCCAUCAGCAAGCCUUUCCUCAUCCGAUUGUAGGUGGGAAGUUUCUCGAGUGCGGCCCAUUUCAAAGCUUCCUCAUCAUCUUCAUCCCUUGAAGAACGGGAGGAAACCUCCUCACCAGAGUUCCUCCAUAUGGAAGAACUGUCCUUCCUUAAACUACCACCGGCUCUAUAAAUUUCACCCGUUGCCAUUGCAACACGAAACGAGGAACCCUCCCUGCAAAACUAACCAAACCCACUAAAACCCAGAAACCUUUCCUACAAAUUAGGAGGAAAAAAACCCAAAUUUCGAGCUCUGGAGCUGAAAAAGCUCAAAAUCAGAGAUGGGUCGCCUCCACCCUUUCCUCUAUGCAUGCAAUGCCGUCUCUUUGCAUUGCUAAAACUUUGUUCCAUGUUGGAAAAAUGUGAAGAAUGGAAGGUUUAUAUAUUGAUUGGAAGGACAGAAAAUGAGGCUGCUCAGAAGUUUGAAAACCGCUUAUUUUCCACUGACUUCAUCUAGACAAGUUGGCGGGGAAAAUCGAAUCUAGAAGAGGCUAUGAAAUUACGAAUGUCUCCAUUUUUUACUCUUCAAAUUCUUAUUUUACAUUUUCACAGUUCAUAAUUUUCAGCCUUCGAGUACAUUGUUUGUCAAGUAACUUUAAAGAAAUGUAAAUUGUUAAAUGUUGUCUACCUGCCGCGGCCUGUUUAGUUCCAGUUUUCAAAAAUGGUUUUUUGUUAUUGAAAAUAAAAAACACAAAAAAACUUAUUUAGGAAAGGGGAUGUGUUUUUGUUUUUGUUUUUUUUUUUGUGUUUUCGGUAUUCUCAAAAACCACUUUUUUUUAGAAUAAUAAAAAAAUAUAUUUUCAUUAUUUUUUCAAUAAAAUAAAUUAUUUUUCGUGUUUUUUUUUUUUCUUCUUUUUGUGUUUUCCUAGGUGCUUUUUAUGUUUCCACGAAGGUGAGUUCCACCUUCACAUCCACUCACAAACCUUUUCUUCUUCCUUAAAUUAUUAAAAUUAAUAUACUUAUACAUUAACUUUCAAACAUGUUUUUUGUUUUACUUAUUCUAAAAAACUUUUUUAUUAAUUCAAUAAAACAUGUUUUUUUUUUUUUGAGAACAAAAAUUAUUUUCCUAAACAAUUUUCAAAAAUAGCAACCAAACAGACCUUAACUUUUCGGUUUAGCUCAAAUCCCCCUAAAUUGCAAAUGUAAUUUUUUGUGGUUAAAAAGAUGAGGGAAAAGUAGGAUUGAUUUACUAAUAUGAAAAUACACGGAAAAACAAACCUCUUCGUUUAUUUAAAAAUAAUUUCAAAUACAUACAUUUUUUAAUGAGUCAUCUAAUUAUUCCCUAAAUUAUUUAUUGUCAUGUCAUUAAUAUUAAUUGAUAAAUGGAUUCUUUCACGUCAAUGUUUAUCUUCCUUUUAAAUUUAUUAUUAUUAUUAUUAGUAUUAUUAUUUUAUUUGGGAUUUUUUUUUCACUGCUUUUAUCAUUCAUACUCUUCAAACUAUCUCACUUUUAUGCAAGGAUUGAAAUAUCGGUAAACACGGAUAUAUCGGUACUUGGAUUUUACGGAUAUAUCGGAAAUAUCGGAGAAAUAUCGGUGGAUAUUUUUCAUCAAAUAUCGGUGAGACAAAAAUUAUCCAAAAUUGAUGGGAAUGUUUAAAAAAAGCCAAAGAAUGAUAAAAUAAGCAAGAAUAUGCAUGUUAAAGUUAUUUUAUAAGUGUAAUUGACAUAAAUAUGGUCAAAGAAAAAAAUAUCGGUAAAUAGUUUACGAUACUUGGAUUUGAAGAAUAAAAAAUAUGAAAUUUGGAAUUGUACACUUAGAAAGUUAGAAUUGAGUUAAGAAAUAUUUGAUUUCAUUAAAUGAAAACAAUUUACACAUAAACAUAAUACAUAUGACAUUGCAAUGGUCCUUAAUACCAAAAUGAAGAUCGAUGUGGUUCCAUCAUAUUGUUAUUGUUAGAUGAAGGGAGCCCAUCUUGUUGAAGACAAUAUUCAUACCAGGACAUGGAGUUUCGAUAGUAUUGAUUGUAUGUACGAACAUGCCAUGCAUAAAUUUCUUGAGUCCUACCAACAACUUGUCCAUGGAUAGGAAAUCCAGGGUNNNNNNNNNNNNNNNNNNNNNNNNNNNNNNNNNNNNNNNNNNNNNNNNNNNNNNNNNNNNNNNNNNNNNNNNNNNNNNNNNNNNNNNNNNNNNNNNNNNNUGAGGCUGCUCAGAAGUUUGAAAACCGCUUAUUUUCCACUGACUUCAUCUAGACAAGUUGGCGGGGAAAAUCGAAUCUAGAAGAGGCUAUGAAAUUACGAAUGUCUCCAUUUUUUACUCUUCAAAUUCUUAUUUUACAUUUUCACAGUUCAUAAUUUUCAGCCUUCGAGUACAUUGUUUGUCAAGUAACUUUAAAGAAAUGUAAAUUGUUAAAUGUUGUCUACCUGCCGCGGCCUGUUUAGUUCCAGUUUUCAAAAAUGGUUUUUUGUUAUUGAAAAUAAAAAACACAAAAAAACUUAUUUAGGAAAGGGGAUGUGUUUUUGUUUUUGUUUUUUUUUUUUGUGUUUUCGGUAUUCUCAAAAACCACUUUUUUUUAGAAUAAUAAAAAAAUAUAUUUUCAUUAUUUUUUCAAUAAAAUAAAUUAUUUUUCGUGUUUUUUUUUUUCUUCUUUUUGUGUUUUCCUAGGUGCUUUUUAUGUUUCCACGAAGGUGAGUUCCACCUUCACAUCCACCCACAAACCUUUUCUUCUUCCUUAAAUUAUUAAAAUUAAUAUACUUAUACAUUAACUUUCAAACAUGUUUUUUGUUUUACUUAUUCUAAAAAAACUUUUUUAUUAAUUCAAUAAAACAUGUUUUUUUUUUUUUGAGAACAAAAAUUAUUUUCCUAAACAAUUUUCAAAAAUAGCAACCAAACAGACCUUAACUUUUCGGUUUAGCUCAAAUCCCCCUAAAUUGCAAAUGUAAUUUUUUGUGGUUAAAAAGAUGAGGGAAAAGUAGGAUUGAUUUACUAAUAUGAAAAUACACGGAAAAACAAACCUCUUCGUUUAUUUAAAAAUAAUUUCAAAUACAUACAUUUUUUAAUGAGUCAUCUAAUUAUUCCCUAAAUUAUUUAUUGUCAUGUCAUUAAUAUUAAUUGAUAAAUAGAUUCUUUCACGUCAAUGUUUAUCUUCCUUUUAAAUUUAUUAUUAUUAUUAUUAGUAUUAUUAUUUUAUUUGGGAUUUUUUUUUCACUGCUUUUAUCAUUCAUACUCUUCAAACUAUCUCACUUUUAUGAGAUGUUUAUGAAAAAAAAAAUGUCUUAACUUUUACUAAGGUGUUUGUUUUUGGGAAAGAAAAAAAUCUCAAAUAAUAAUAAUUGUGGGAUGCUCACAACCGUCUAGCAUGAUCCUUAUGUGUCGUCAAGUGUGAUGCCUAUUUUAUGCAAUCGUCAUGUAUCUGUCUACCUCAAAAUGCAAACAGACAAAUCAUCGAGGCACUAUACAUUCCCACCAGUCAAGUAUUAAAUACAACAUAUAUUAAGUGCAUUAAUUGACAUAACCAUUACUAAGCAUAAAACAUCAUACUUCCAAGACUCAAAAACUAGUAAUCAUUAACAUUAAAGAUGGUAAAAUUGCAAUCAAAUGUAUAAUAAAAGCAUUGAGAAGACAUUACCUUUGAGCCUAAAUAAAUAGUCAUUAUUCAUAAAAAANNNNNNNNNNNNNNNNNNNNNNNNNNNNNNNNNNNNNNNNNNNNNNNNNNNNNNNNNNNNNNNNNNNNNNNNNNNNNNNNNNNNNNNNNNNNNNNNNNNNGAAUUAUGCAUAUAUGAAAUAGAUAAACAUUACAAUAAAAUUUUGAUAAGAAUUAAAUUAAAUUAAAAUAAAUUAAAUUUGCAUAUUCAUGAAAUUGAUAAGAAUCAUUACUAAUAAAAAUUAAAAUUGAAUUAUGCAUAUAUGAAAUAGAUAAACAUUACAAUUACAUUUCCAUAUGAAUUAGAAAAUAUCAAUUAAACUAUAUAUAACAAAUAAAAUUUAAUUAUGCAUAAUAAAAUAAAUUUUAUAAAAGGUAAGACAUACCUUAAUUAGCCUUUGACUUGGAGUUAAUCCCCUUCACCACCAAAUUUUCAAAAUAAAAAAUUUUUGCUAGAUCAUAUAAGAAUUUUGAUGUAUGAAAUGAAAUGGAAUGUGGGUAUUUAUAGGAAUUUUUUUGGUCAAACUAGCCGUUGGAUGGUCAAACUAGCCGUUAGAAAUUAAUUUUAACCGUUGGAUCAAAAUUUGGUUCAAAUUUCACCAUUAGAUCUUCAUAUAACCGUUGGAAACACUCCAUAGCCCUUGGAUAAAGUCAAGAUUGAUUUUCCACCAUUGGAUCACAAAUCUGACCGUUGGAGGCCUUUACAUACACGGGUGAAAUCUGGGCCAUCAGAUCCUCAAAAAUUCAAAAUUGGCCGUCAGAUCAAAAGCAGGGAAUCUUCAAAAAAAUCGCCGAUUUUUUCAAAAAAUCGCCGAUUUAUCGCGAUUUUAUCGGCAAAAAAUCGCCGAUUUUUUCAAAAAAUCGGCGAUAAAUCGCCGAUUUUACCGAUUAAUCGCCGAUUUUUUGCUGUCCUCUGCCGUCUUCGCCGCGCGUGGCUCCACUCGCCGAUGUUUCGCCGAUUUUUCGGUCCUCCACCGAUAUUUCGCCGAUAUAUCGGCGAUUUUGCCGAUUUUUGGCCGAUUUUUCCGUCAAUCGAUAAUCGGUGCCGAUUAUCGUUUCGAUGCCGCCCGAUAACCGAUAUUUCUCCGAAAUAUCGGCGACAUUUUCCGAUUUUUCAAUCCAUGCUUUUAUGAGAUGUUUAUGAAAAAAAAAAUGUCUUAACUUUUACUAAGGUGUUUGUUUUUGGGAAAGAAAAAAAUCUCAAAUAAUAAUAAUUGUGGGAUGCUCACAACCGUCUAGCAUGAUCCUUAUGUGUCGUCAAGUGUGAUGCCUAUUUUAUGCAAUCGUCAUGUAUCUGUCUACCUCAAAAUGCAAACAGACAAAUCAUCGAGGCACUAUACAUUCCCACCAGUCAAGUAUUAAAUACAACAUAUAUUAAGUGCAUUAAUUGACAUAACCAUUACUAAGCAUAAAACAUCAUACUUCCAAGACUCAAAAACUAGUAAUCAUUAACAUUAAAGAUGGUAAAAUUGCAAUCAAAUGUAUAAUAAAAGCAUUGAGAAGACAUUACCUUUGAGCCUAAAUAAAUAGUCAUUAUUCAUAAAAAAGAAGGUAUGUUGCCACUUUUCCAAAAAAUCUCUUGCUCAAGUUUUUUACAUCUGACUUAAGCUUUGAAAGGAUGUAUCCGAAAAACUCAUCCAAACAUUCUUUUGUGCAAGUGCAAUCGGUCGUCUACAUCACGUGGAGGCUAGCCGGAUACUUCAUUAUUGGUCAUGCACCAACAAUAACGAUAAUAAAUCUGAAAAAAAAAAAACAUUUAUGUGGACAAGUCUAGUUGUCAAUUAAGGUUGAUGACAUGACAAGUAACAAUGACAUUUUAAGGGAUAAUUAAAUGACUAAUUAAAAUUGCAUGUAUUUUAAUUUUUUUUAAAUAAAUAAAGAUAAUAUUGAUUUAAAAAUUUAGGUUUCUUUUUUUCCAUAUAUUUUCAUAUUAGUAAGUCAAAACUCACUUUUCCCUUAAAAUUAAAUUCAAAUUCUUAUUAUUCAAGGCAUUACAUUAGUUUGGAUUUAUCAAAUAUUAAAUAACAUAUAAAUUAAUAUUAAUCAUAAAUUCUCAUAAUAUGAAUCAUUGUAAAAGAGUAAAUUUAUGAACAUACAAAUUAAUAUAAUUGUAGGAAAAAGUGAGUAUUGACUCACUAAUAUGAAAAUAUAUAGAAAAAAUAACCUCAAAUUUUUUAAAUCCAUAUUAUCUUCAUCUAUUAAAAAAUAAUUUGAAAUACAUGCACUUUUUAAUGAGUCAUAUAAUUAUUCCCUAAAAUUUCCAUAAAAAAAAAUGUUGGUUACCAAUAAUCACAUCAAGAAUUUUACAUAAAAAAAUAAAAAAAUAAAAACAAAAAUAUAUUACUUUUUUAUAUGUAUCUCUAUCUCCUGAAUUGAAGAUGAAAUAAAAAAACAGAAGAAUGUCCUAAACAAUCAAGGUCCUUGAAAUUAACCUCAACGUACCCUAAUGAAAAAAAUCCUACAAAGACCUUGGAAAAAACCAUAAACCUUAUUCCCUGCAAACUCAAACUCACCUAUAGUCCGCUAAGGUUUUACCUACUUUUAAUUUCCACACUCUUCAAACUACCUCACUUUUGCUACGAGAUAUUUGUUUAUAGAAAAAAAAAAUUCAACUUUUCCUAAAGGGUCUUUGCUUUUAGAACAAAAAAUCUCAAAUAAUAAUAAUAAUAAAUAUCUAAAAGGAACAUAAAUAAUUACGUGGAGAAGUCUAGUUGUCAAUUAAUGUUGAUGACGUGACAAGUAAAAAUCAAAAUUUAAAAAAUAAUUAGAUGACUCAUUAAAAAUUGCAUGUUUUUCAAAUUAUUUAAAAAUAAAUGAAUAUGAUAUCAAUAUACAAAAUUUAGAGUUCUUUUUUUCCAUAUAUUUUCGUAUUAGUGAAUCAAAACCCACUUUUCCCAUAAUUAUAUACUCAAUUUAUAUAUUAGCCAUUGUUUGAUAAAAUCUAAAAUUAUUUUUAUGAAACCAAGGUUUGGUUCAUUGCGAUUUUGAUGAUAACAAAACAAGGUUUAGAACUAAUGAUUUUAUUUCAAGUGUGAUUAGGCAAGAUGAUUUCCAAAGUGGUAAUCACAAAGACAAAUCAAGUCAAGGAGAAAUUACGAAGAAGAAGACCACCUCAAAGAGAAGUGUUUUUCAAGACCUAAGUUUCAUAAGAUCUCUUUAUAAAGUUGUUGGUGUACUAGGAUUUUCAUACAUUACAUUCUUUACUUAUAUUCCAAAAUUAUCCAAGAGUUAUUUUGUUUUAAAUAUUUUAAAAUUGGAUGAUUUCAUGUUUUCAACUCAAACCUUGUGUCAAAAUGUUUUUCAAACUUGUUUAAAAGGUUUUAAAUUGAAAAAGUUGGUUGUUAAGCCAAAAACAGCUCAAUCGGAUGAGAAACCGAUCAACCGCCAGCUCAACCGGUUUAGGAGCAGGUCGACCUCCAGUUCAAUCAGUCAAGGGUGUGAACAGUAAUUGGUCGAUCGCCAGCUCAAUAGGUCGAUGGGUGCAAAAAACUUUAUCUCUCUUCCAAAAUGGUUGUUCAACUGGAUGAGGAACCAGUCGACCCAUACCUCAACCGGUCGAGGACCAAUUGAAGUCCAAUGGUCACCUACCAAGCAUUAAAUGCUAAUAACUAGUCAACCGGUCGACCCCCAACUCGACUGAUCGAACCCCCAAUGGCUAGUUUGAUUUUUUUUCCUCUAUAAAAAGGCUUCAAAUCUUCAUUGUUCAUGAGUUCAACUUUCCCAAACCUUUCUUGAAUAUAUUUGAGUCUUGGAAGAGUGUUUUGAGUGCACCAUUGUUCUAAAACUUGCAUAUCUUUAGUGCACCAUUCAAUCCUAGUUUUCUUAUAUCAUUUGAGCUUAAAGUUUUUGUACUAGGAUUUUGUAAGAUCAAUUAUUUAUAUAUCUUUGAGAGGAAGAUUCUCAAGUGUAGGGUAUCACUUGAGAGGUUGUUUAAGAGUGGGGUAUCUCUUGAGGAUUAUAAAGGGUGCUUAGAACCAAAAGUCCAAAAUAGUGAAUUGAAACCAUAAUCCAAUUGUAUCGCUUAAAGGCUUGGUUUGGAAGCCUUGAAUUAGUGGAACCUCAAGCUUGGGAUUGAAGCUAGAGAAAAAUGGAUGUAGGCUAGGUUGCACCAAACCACGAUAAAAUCUUGUGUUUGCAUUUUCUCUUCCCUACUUUUUUACUUUAUAUGCAAUUAUAUUUAUAUUGUUUUAUUAUAUACUUGCAUAUAUUUGUCUCUUACAUUCUUAAAAAACAUAAAUCUAUUUUUAAAAACUAUUACCAAGCAAGCUCUUAAUUCAUAUUUUCCACAUUUUAGGGUAAUUAAUUCACUUUCAUUCUCAUUUCUAUCAUAUUCAAAUUCUCUCAUUCCACACUCCAGAGCUUUUUCCAUAAAAGAAGAAUGGUCGUGGGUUUCUCAUUUUUUUUUUUGUAUGAAAUGUAAGAUAUUUCACUUUCAUUUCCAUUUCUAUUACAGUCAAAUUCUCCCAUUCGACACUCCAUAGCUUUUUCCAUGAAAGAAGAACCGUUGUGGCAAGGUUUCUCAUUUCCUUGUAUGAAAAGUAAGAUGAUUUCACUUUCAUUCUUAUUUAUAUCAUAUUCAAAUUCUCUCAUUCCAGACUCUAGAGUUUUUUCCAUGAAAGAAUAAUGGUCGUAAUCAGAUAUUAAAAUAUCGUGUUUCAGUGGACCACGCAGUAGCUCAGCCAACCACUGGAGUAAGCUUACCCCUUGUUAUAUAUACUGUAUCAAAUAUAUAUGGACUAAAACUCAUCAUAUAAACACAAUAUUAAAAUAAUAUUUUAAUGAACAAAUUAAUUAUAAUUAUUUUAUAAUUAAAUGAAAAAAAUCAUUUAAUUGAUUGCCAAAAAUAUAAAAUUAUCAUGAUAAUUUUCUUCAUAGUGUUUUUAAUAUCAUUAAUAUAUUAAUUAAAUAUUAAUAUAUAUCAUUUAUUUUACUCAAUUGUUAUUCACAACACUAUUUUUACUAAUGCAACAUUUUACAUUCCUAAAUUACCCUCCCUUAUUCCUUCCCCCUCUCUCUCCUCUCCCCUCUCUCUUCCCCAACCUCGCAUCCCAAUUGCACCCCUUUUUGAAUUUUUUUUCCCAAUCCCCACCCCACAUUUUAGCAUUUUUUUUCUUUUAUUUUUAUCUUCCUUUUCAUCUCUACAAACCCAACCCCCCAACCCACGUAAACUUCUUUUUUUUCUUUUCAUUUCUUUUAUUUUUUCACACUCAAUUAUUUUUCAUAUUCUUCUUAUAUUUUAAAACAAAAUAAUUUCUUUAAAUAAUAAAUUAUAAAAUGAUUUUAUUAUAUUCAAUGUUUUUUUAAAUUUGCAAAAAUAGACCAUCACCUUAUUCGCCCUCUUCUAGGGUGAUUACCAUAGGUUGGAUUAACCUAAUAUUUUUAAUAAUUUUUAAAAUAUCAAAAUCAAGCCCUAGAUAACUCACCAUUAAAAAAAAUAUUUAAUAAGUUAUAGAAAGUUCCUUUUAAUAUAUUUUUAUGGUAUAUGGUAGAAUUUAAAUAAAAUUAAUUCCAAAUUUUAAAAAAAAAAAAAAAAAUCAUUUAUAAAAGUUAUUAACCAUUAAUAAUUGAUAGUGGUUGGAUUAUACCAAAAAAAAAAAGGUUGUAUUUGUCUUGUCAUUGAUAUUCAUAAUUGAUAAUAUCAUAUAUUAAAAAUUAUUAACCAUUAAUAAUAAAUCAACACUGAUUAUUAAUUAUUUAGACCAUUUUUAUGAAAAAAAAAAUAGUGAAACUUUUAAAUUAAUACACCAAAAAUAGUUUUAGAAGCAUAUAGAGAAGAUUGAGAAUAAAAUUUGAGUUUUGUUGUGUUGUUGUUUUAGUGUUUUAAGUUUUAAAACUUGAGUCAAGUGAUUGUUAUUUGCUUUGUUUGGUUGUUGAGAAAAAUAGAAGAUUGAGAAUGAAACUUGAGUUUCAUGGUUAUUGCUUUGGUGUUUGAAGUUUUGAAACUCGAGAGUUGAAUGGCUGUGCUAGUAUAUAUCCUUUUUUGUAUGGAUUAUAACCAAAGCAUGGUGAACACACUUGUGCACACAUCCAAGAAUAUAUAUAUAUAUAUAUAUAUAUAUAUAUAUAUAUAUAUAUAUAUAUAUAUAUAUAUAUAUAUAUCAAAUUUGAACAACUGAAUAAUGAAAUUGUAUUGACCAUACAAAGAUAAUGAACAAACUAUGUAAAGGGUAUACAAGGCAAAUCAUGGAUUUUGAACAACUAUGCAAGACCGUUACAUUGACUAUAUAGGAUCAAUGAACUAACUAUAUAAAAAGUAUACAAAAUAGGACAUGAAUUUUGAACAACCAUACAACACAAUUGCAUUCACUUUAUAAGGCCAAUGAACUAAUUAUAAAAGCAAUGUAUUGUUUACAACUUAUUUUUAUCCCUCCUCGAAAUACCUCAAAGGUUUAUGACAAUAAAAAGAAAAAAAAAGUGUUAUUUUUCUUUUUCAAAUUUUAAAAAAUCAAAUAAAUAUAAAAAUAGAUUUUUAUUUUUUAAAGAUAAAAUUAAAAAGGGAAGAAAAAUAUGAUAAAUUUAAUUUUUUACCUUCCAAUUAAUUUGUAAAUAUUUUUAAAAAAAAAGGGAAAAUUCNNNNNNNNNNNNNNNNNNNNNNNNNNNNNNNNNNNNNNNNNNNNNNNNNNNNNNNNNNNNNNNNNNNNNNNNNNNNNNNNNNNNNNNNNNNNNNNNNNNNCCUCUACUCUCCUCUCCCCUCUCUCUUCCCCAACCUCGCAUCCCAAUUGCACCCCUUUUUGAAUUUUUUUUCCCAAUCCCCACCCCACAUUUAAGCAUUUUUUUUCUUUUAUUUUUAUCUUCCUUUUCAUCUCUACAAACCCAACCCCCCAACCCACGUAAACUUCUUUUUUUUCUUUUCAUUUCUUUUAUUUUUUCACACUCAAUUAUUUUUCAUAUUCUUCUUAUAUUUUAAAACAAAAUAAUUUCUUUAAAUAAUAAAUUAUAAAAUGAUUUUAUUAUAUUCAAUGUUUUUUUAAAUUUGCAAAAAUAGACCAUCACCUUAUUCGCCCUCUUCUAGGGUGAUUACCAUAGGUUGGAUUAACCUAAUAUUUUUAAUAAUUUUUAAAAUAUCAAAAUCAAGCCCUAGAUAACUCACCAUUAAAAAAAAUAUUUAAUAAGUUAUAGAAAGUUCCUUUUAAUAUAUUUUUAUGGUAUAUGGUAGAAUUUAAAUAAAAUUAAUUCCAAAUUUUUUAAAAAUAAAAAAAAAAUCAUUUAUAAAAGUUAUUAACCAUUAAUAAUUGAUAGUGGUUGUAUUAUACCAAAAAAAAAAAGGUUGUAUUUGUCUUGUCAUUGAUAUUCAUAAUUGAUAAUAUCAUAUAUUAAAAAUUAUUAACCAUUAAUAAUAAAUCAACACUGAUUAUUAAUUAUUUAGACCAUUUUUAUGAAAAAAAAAUAGUGAAACUUUUAAAUUAAUACACCAAAAAUAGUUUUAGAAGCAUAUAGAGAAGAUUGAGAAUAAAAUUUGAGUUUUGUUGUGUUGUUGUUUUAGUGUUUUAAGUUUUAAAACUUGAGUCAAGUGAUUGUUAUUUGCUUUGUUUGGUUGUUGAGAAAAAUAGAAGAUUGAGAAUGAAACUUGAGUUUCAUGGUUAUUGCUUUGGUGUUUGAAGUUUUGAAACUCGAGAGUUGAAUGGCUGUGCUAGUAUAUAUCCUUUUUUGUAUGGAUUAUAACCAAAGCAUGGUGAACACACUUGUGCACACAUCCAAGAAUAUAUAUAUAUAUAUAUAUAUAUAUCAAAUUUGAACAACUGAAUAAUGAAAUUGUAUUGACCAUACAAAGAUAAUGAACAAACUAUGUAAAGGGUAUACAAGGCAAAUCAUGGAUUUUGAACAACUAUGCAAGACCGUUACAUUGACUAUAUAGGAUCAAUGAACUAACUAUAUAAAAAGUAUACAAAAUAGGACAUGAAUUUUGAACAACCAUACAACACAAUUGCAUUCACUUUAUAAGGCCAAUGAACUAAUUAUAAAAGCAAUGUAUUGUUUACAACUUAUUUUUAUCCCUCCUCGAAAUACCUCAAAGGUUUAUGACAAUAAAAAGAAAAAAAAAGUGUUAAUUUUCUUUUUCAAAUUUUAAAAAAUCAAAUAAAUAUAAAAAUAGAUUUUUAUUUUUUAAAGAUAAAAUUAAAAAUGGAAGAAAAAUAUGAUAAAUUUAAUUUUUUACCUUCAAAUUAAUUUGUAAAUAUUUUUAAAAUAAAUAGGAAAAUUCAAAUAUUGCAAUUGAUUUUUAAGAUAAAAUUUGAAAACAAAAAAUAACAAUAACUUUCAUAUAACAUAUAAAAACUUUUAGAUACUUAAACCAAAAAGAUAAUGGUAAUAAAAAAAAAGUUAAAAAAAAAGUGAGGUUUUAAAAUUUAAUCCCAUCUCAAAUUCAAAAAUUUUUAAGGAUAUAAAACAAGCCUAUAUUUUUUAUAUGAAAAUUUUCAUUUUUUUAAGUUAUAAAAAUUAUUCUCAAUUUCUCCUUUUAAAAAUAAUGAACAAGAAAUGUAUUUAAAAAAAACCUUAUAUUGAAAACUUUUUAAAUGCCUAAUAAUUAAAAAAAAAAAAUUCUAAAUUUAAAAAUAAUAAUUUAAGUUUUAAAAUUAUAAAUCGUAUAUGGAACUUCUUCCCAUUAAAUAAUUGCUUACUUAAUUAUCCCCACAUGUGAUUUUCUAAAAACCCAAUUAAGGGUAUUUUGGGCAUUUUUGGCUCACAAAAUAUUGGUACGUCCUUCAUAGUAAUUUGGAGACCUGCUCUACCCCAUCACAACAAUUAUACAAAUUCAUGGUCUUUAGGGUCAUUAUCACCUUCAAGGCUUCAAUCACCCUUCGAUCAUAGCCGGCUGUAGGUGCAAUUUGGUCUCUUCUCAAUUUAUUAAUCACACAGGACAAAGUCCAAAAUCAAAUAUAUUCUAAAAAAUAGGUAGAUUCUUGGCAUGUGUAUCAGGAAUUUUACUUUUCAUAUGGAAAAUUGUGAUUUAUGGAAUGCGUGAUGGACUUUAAAUCCUAAAAAUAAUAAUAAAUAAAUAAUGAAAAAUAAGGCAAUUGUCUGCCUAAUUAUUGAAUGAUAAAAAUAAAAUAUUUUGUCACAUCUAUGGAAAGUUGACUUUGACAAUUACACGAUAGAAUAGGUCAAGCCCACUAGAUUUUCAGGAAAGUAGUAAGUAAAAAAUAAAAUAAAAUAAAUGAUAUUUUAGUAUUUUAUUGAGCAUAUAAAAUAUAAAAUAAAUUCAAAUAUAAUUAAAAUUAAAUUUAUGUAUUUUAAAUUUAUUUAAUUUUUAUAUAGAAGAGUUAAAAUAAAUUAAAUAAAAUUUAAAAAUAUAUAAAAAUAAUUUAUUAAGUUUAAAUUAUUUUUAUUUUUCUUUGCUUUCUUUGACUUCUGUUUUUACUCAUUAUUUUAUUACCAUAAUUUCCUCAAAAUUUUCAAAAUCCAAAUGCUUAUUGAAAUUUAUUAGUACAAACUUUGAAAUUUUGGCUUAUUUAAAUUUGAGUGCAGAAGAGGUCAGUAAUGUAGGGACCCCCCAGGACAUGUGGCACGCACCUCUAUUCGGGUCCCCCAAGGGGGGUAUACGACACUCUCAAAUAUCAUAUCCGGGCGAUGCUUUAUCCUAUCUGGACCUAUUGUCCGGAUCAUUGACUGUAACGAGCAAGUCUUGCUGAGUCAUCCCCGACAGUCUGCCACAACCCACGUUCCGUCGCCUGCAGAGCGAAAGAACAAGAGCGAUGACAAGUCACCUCCCACGAUCUUUGAUGAUGACCCUGCCACCACCUUGAAGACAUCAUGACAAGCCAAAAAGUUUUCCCACCAUUAAAGAGGGGAGCAGAGUUUCUGACAUUAUAUAAAAGGGUCUUCACACAAGGAGGAAGGUAAGCCUGAGAUCCUAAAAAAGCCAAUAGUCUGAUCUCUUAAGCCAUGACUAACAAAACCAUCGGAGGGUGUGUCCGGACAUCUUUUGCAGGAUCGACUGAGCCAGAACUCCUUCUUGGUUGAUAGCACGCGUCCACUUGGCAGCAGCAGGGAUCCCUGGGACACGAGGCAUCAACAAGUAAUGGCUCCUAAUACAUGGAAUAUGCAUAUCCCACCAUUUUUUAUCCUUCAAAUUCUUAUAUUAACACUUUCACGGUUCUUAAUUUUUAGCUUUUCUAUGUCUUAUAUGGGUAUAUUAGGCUAUGUAGUUUAAGAUCGACAAUUUUGUUCUAUUCAUUUUAGCUUAAAAGUGUCCAAUAAUAUGCUCUAUAUUAAACCUCUCUCAUGUUAGUAGCUUCAACAACAGUGAGUCAAGUCCGGGGGACAUGAUAGACAAACCCAUAUGACUAGUUCACAUUAUCAGGUCCUCUUGUACUAUAAUUAUGAAUGAAAAAAUAGACGUUUCUAGAAAUUCAUGGGGCUUAGUUCACUGGAAGUUCUUAUUUUUCUUGAGUCCAGAUAAAGAAAGAUUUGAUAUCUAGAAAUUCAAAAUCUUCUUGUCUUCACGCUUUCUGAUCAAAGCAAGUACUAAUAAAGAAAACAAUCAGAGCAUGACAGAUGUUGAACUUAAUAUUGUCUAGAUUCACCGAGUCGAUGAGGUUUUGAGCUUGAAAGAGUGAGUUCAAAUCCACAUGUCUGGAAAUUUGGAAGGCAGUGAUUCUACAAUUCAAAGUCCUAUAUCCACAUGUCUGAAUCUGAUCAGCAGGAUACCAAUGAAUGAGCACCAAGUUUAAGUAACUACUUUUCUUCAUGGGUCAAGCAUGGAACUUAGAAAUACCUCUGAACUUUCUGAAGAAGGCCAAAACUUCCCUUUUUGCUAGCUCAAGUCUAAAUUUAAGAGUGUUGCAAACCCUGCUCCUGAUACACGCUUGUUGGUUUUGAAAACAUACUAUUUUCAUGUUGUUACCGUGUCUUAAUGUCUUCAGCCACUUAAAGCAGAGACUGAAAGUGGAGCACCAUACUAGUAAGCAGGCAAUCAAGAUGAAAGAAUUGCUUAAGGUUACAUUAUUGUCAUGAAUUUAAGUUACAUAAAAUUGGGAGAAAACAAAAUACAAGAAUUUAACUAGUAUUAUCUGCUCAUUGCAGAGCUUUGGAUACUCUCUAACAGCCUAUACAUAGAACAAAACCAUUUUGUUCAUCUUACAACCAAAUGUUGAACUGAGAAUGUUACAUAUACAUUAACCAACCAUCUUUGAAGAACUCGUGCUUUUACCGCCUUUGGAAGUUAAAUGCCUUAAUGGCAAAGGCAAAGAUAAAUAAGAAAAGUACUGUAAACCCAACAAUCACAGCUGCAACCACUCCUAGAAAAUCAUGUUCGAAUCCAAAAUAGUCAUUCAAGUAUUGUUCCACUGUGUCACCUGUGUCCUCAAAUCUGUCCUGUAUAUCUCCAAACUGUGAUGUAACCAAUCCAUACAAAGUCCAUGCAACUGGACAUGCCCAAUAGUACCAUCUCCACCACACAGGAAUCCUCUGUAUUCAUCAUGGAAGAAAUGCAACAAAAUGAGUCAUUUCCAUAUCCAUGUGCUAAAGAUAGUUGCAAUUUAGAGAAUAAUGAGUUGAGAGAACUUACUGUUCGAGGAACUAUAAAACCUGAAAAUAGGUUCCAUAAUCCAUAAAAUGCUGCAGCAACGAUGGCAGCAAUAUGUUGAUUUGGUGUGGCAGCCACAGCCAUCAUGCCAUAAAAGGUGAAGUACAGUAAGGUGAAGAACAUGAAGAACAGAUACCAGAAGAACUUAGCAGCUGUCCAUUCAAAUCCAAUCAUUGCAUAAACUAUAACACCAUACACCACAGCUUGUGCAAAGACAUAUGGUAUCUCAACUAGAGCCUGAAACAAGAGAUGAAAUUUGAUUAAUAAAACCCAUAAAGUGUUAGAGAUAGACAGUCCAUAGCAUAAGAAAACUAGUUACCUGUGCAAAGGCAUAUGGCAUAGCUGAAUACAUUCCUGCAGCUCUUUCUCUGUAAAAGACUGUCCGUUCAACUGCAACGACUGGCUGCACCGAUGAGGAAUUUUGAACCCCAAGGAAGAGAACAGCAGCAUACAUAGAACCCAUUGCAUUACUCAAAUCUUGUUGUUUUUUCCUGAAUUUUACCAUGUGAAGUAUGAAUUAAAGUUGAUACAGAGAAACAUACUGAGUUCUCAAAAUCCUGUACUGGGUUCAAAUUACCUUUUGGUGCCGAGAUCCCAGAACAUUGUCCCAAAUAUCAAGGCUAUGAAAGUUGUGAAGAAAAAUCUCACUGCCGUGUAUGGUGGAUUGCGCCAAUAUGACCUACGCUGUUUCCAUAAGCAUGCCAUACAUUGGGUGAAGAAGGACUGGGAGUAUUGAGUAGGGAAAUAGAGGUCCUUUGAACCAGGGGCAGGUUGGCUCAAUUCUUUAAUUAAAUCUUUGUUUCUCCUGAAACAUAUGCCACAUCAGAAAAGGCUUCAAUAACCAAUUCAAGCUUGCAUGAUGAACAUUGAGAUGUGUAUACAUGACAUUUCAAUAUCAUAAUGCUUUCAGAUAACCUAUAGUUGAAUCACCUGUAUAGGUCCGAAUUUUUGUAUAUUUCAGUGAAAUCCACCCCCAACAAGAAUUCUUGUGCCGAAGAGGUAACUUCCAGCAUCCAAGUUGCAGGGUUAUAACCAUCUUUGAUUUUACUCACUCCUUCAAUUCCCUUAAUGAUAGCAAGUCACAUGUAUUAGUAAGCACUUGAUAUGAAUUAACUCAAACUAAAUUAUUUGCUGCUUAUAGCUUUUACUUUAUCAUGGCAGCUUACCUGAAAAUACUUUAUCAGAUGAGAAGAAUGUCUACCCAGUGGUCCCACAUAUAUCUCUUGUCCUCCUCGCUUCAACAGGAGCAACUGCAAAUCCAUUUUAAAUAUUUCAGUACUUAUAUGCAAAGCUCAUAGAAGGGAAACUAUAAAUUCUUUCUAUCCAUUAACAUUUCCCACCUCAUCAAAGGCUUCAAAGAUGUCAAUACUUGGCUGAUGGAUGGUGCACACAACUGUUCUUCCUGUGUCCACUGUGUUCCUGACUGUUCUCAUAACAAUUGCAGCAGCUCUUGCAUCUAGCCCUGAAGUUGGCUCAUCCAUGAAUAUUAUUGAGGGAUUUGCCACAAGCUCAACUGCAAUGGUCAGCCUCUUGCGCUGCUCUGUUGAGAGACCAUUUACACCUGGCAACCCAACUAGUGAAUCCUUCAAUGGGGUCAGUUCCACGAGCUCCAUGACUUCCUCAAUGAACAUCUGUAACCAUUAGCAAGGAUUAGAAAUUGUUUAAAAAAACAAUGCAAAGCCAUAGCAGAGAUGGUAAAAAAAUUGACACUGCUUGUGACUCUUUUCAGUUAGCAGGUUGUGAACAAGUUUCUCUAGUCUUAUUAAACAGAUCAGUUCAUGGUUGCCAAUGCUCAAUAACACCUAUUAGCAUGCAUGAACUUCACCAACUUGUAUUCCAGGUCAACCAAAUUUGAACCAGCACCUUUCCCCAGGGUGAAGGUCAAGCCAAAUUUGAACCUGAUCUAAGCUCAACCAAGUUUGAAAAAUCAAUUCUAGGGCUUUACUUGUUCAGAGCACUCAAUUGAAUAAGACAAAUGUGGAAAGAACUCAGGAAGCCCUCACCUUUCUAGUUUUAGAAUCCACAUCAGCAGGCAACCUCAGCCAAGCAGAGUAGAGCAAGGACUCAUGGAUAGUAACAUGAGGAGAGUGGAUGUCAUUCUGCUCACAGUAUCCAGAAAUUCGAGCAAAAGUCUCUUGCUUCUUUGGGUAGCCAGAAAUGUUGAUGUUACCCUCAAUAUAUCCACCAGUUUUCCGACCAGCCAGUACAUCCAUGAGAGUGGUUUUACCAGCACCGCUAACACCCAUCAGAGCUGUAAGAACACCAGGCCUGAAAGCACCACUCACCCCCUUUAGAAGCUCCAAUCUGUCUUCAAGGACACCCUGACUUUUCAUUUCCUACAAAUUCAAUUCAAACAACUUAGUUCUCAUUUUUGGUUUAUUAGUGCUGCUAAAGCAUGUACAUUAUUUGCAUUAACAUGGAGUUACCUCUGGCAUGUCAACUGAGUAUCUAAUAUCAUCAAAGGUGAUAGAAAGUGGUUGGAAUGGAAGAACCAUUCCUUUUUUGUUGUUACGUCUAGCCUCAGCAAUGGCUUCUGCCCUCACAGAUGAGGAUGUGGAUGAGAUGCUUCUCCCAAUUUCGUCUCUCCUCUCUGCAUGUUAAGUUUAAAAUUAGUGAGCCAUGUAAAACAUGUGGUUAAAUGACAAGAACAAAGGCACACAUGCACCAUGAAUGAGUUUCAUCACCUGUGGAUGCAGUUUGGUCAAUCGAGCCUCGUCUAUGGGAUGAUAACUCGAUCUUCCCUCCAGUUUUGGAAUUCUCAGACUCUUCUGUUAUAACAGCUUGAGGCUUCUCAAAUGCUGCACAAUUUGCACAAAUCUUAGUACACUAAUCUCCAAUAUUUUAGGAUUUUCAACACAGAGAAUGUAAGGAUACCCACCAUUUAGGUAAGUGAGAGCCACAGUGUAACAGAAGUUGAAGACUAAAAUGAAUCCAAGCAGUGCCCCAGCUCCUAUCCAGUACCAGUAUGCCUCUGUGAAGAACCCGCGAGACUUCAAUACUGCUACUCCAAGGGAUUCUGUUGAAUCGGUUGAAGAAUUCUGAAAAAUGGAAAUACAUUCAAUCAUCAGUUACUGACACAAAUAAACACAAAUAUUCACAUGAAACAUUCAUAAACUUACUUUGCUCCAACUCUUCCCAAGGAAUUCAUUUACCACUAUUGCGUUCUGUGCAUACAUCAGAGGGGAAGACCAGUAACCCCAAAUCCACCAUUUCUUGACAUUUUCUACAGCAAUGACCAAAUACAAGAAGGAAACAAAAAUUCAUUAUUAGGGUUUAUGAACAAGAAGGUCCUAGUUUCCUAAAAAAAAUCUUUCCUCCUUAUACCUCGUGACAGGACAAAACCACCCAAUGCAAAGAGCAAAAGUAAUGAAAAUGACCCAAAUGUGUUUGCAACAAUCAUGUUUCUACCAGCUGCUGCAAUAAAUCGAAACAAUGCAGAUGCCAUCUGAUUAACAAGCACGAGGAGAAGAUAUUGUUUAAACAACCUGCAAUAAGAAGAUUUGUUUAUUAGCAUUGAUCAUUUUGGAACAAAGAAAACAUUUGAAACAAAUCUGGACAUGUUUCUUUUACCUUCCCACAUUUGGAUCAAAUCCAAUGACAUAAUAAGACAUGAACACCCAAACAGCAACUUCAACAAAUGUGAUGGGGAUCUUGAGGAUCCAUGAGGGGAGUGCAUACGCCCAUGCAGGGUAGAAUAGUAGGCCUCUUUGCUUGUAAAAGACAGGAAGUUUUGCAAUGGUCAUGGCAAGUUCUGACAUUCCAUUAAACAUGAUCAUGACAACAGUGAAGAACAAAGCACCCGUGUAAAUGCUUCCAUCAUCUGUUGAAUUUUUGUGCAUCUCAGUUCUUAGGAAGAUUGUCAUGGAAAUUGCUGCCAUUAUUAUGAGCUAAAAGAAGAAACAAAAAUAAUAAAUUACGAUCAAAUGUACAAAAUUGAAAGCCAUUGUUAUAAGUAACAACAAUAAUAAUACUCACUUGGGUGAGCUUGAAAAUAUAGACAAAUGAAUUCCUCUUCAUCAGCAAGUACUCUCUUGAGAUGCAAGCAUCCAACAGUUCCUUCUUUCUAACACCAUAUUUUUCAGUUUUCAAAGCAGCUGGGUGGCUUUUGGUCUUGUCGAAUGGAGUUGCAAGCUCAUGUCCUAGUUUCCGUCCAAUGUGAAAUGACUGGAAUGCCUCGGCAAAUUCCUUGACUGUGACAAAACUGUAAGGCUCAUCUUUACGUGCCCAAUACUGCUGCUGAUCUUUCCUAGAUGUUACCUGUAAUGAAUUUUAAAAUUCAUGUUCUAGCUUGAUUUUUUCUAAAGAAGGAAAAAAAAAUUGAGAAGAUGCCUAAAGGUACAAAACUAUUAGCACUCACUUCUUGUAGGAAGUCUGCCACACCCUUCCUUUCAGGACAUCUGAAGCCCAUGGAUUCAAAAAAGUCAAGAACGUCUUCACGAGGACCCUGAUAAACAAUCUGGCUAUCAGAGAGGAGAAUGAUGUCAUCAAAAAGAUCGUAAGUCUCAGGUGCUGGCUGGAGGAGAGAGAUGAGAGCAGUCCCAUUGAGAAUGUGGAUGGUUUGCCUGAGAGAAUUCACGAUUUGAUAAGUUGUCGAGCUAUCCAACCCAGUAGAGAUCUCAUCCAUGAACAGUGCCUUCGAUGGUCCAACCAGCAUCUCCCCUGUCAUUCAUAUAUUUCACAGUUGAAUUAACUUAAAUUAAUGAACGAAAAAAUCUAAUUUAUUUUAUUUGGUUGGAAACCAAAUUAUCCUACCAGUUGUGACACGCUUCCGUUGUCCUCCAGAGAUACCCCUUAUCAUUUGAUCUCCUACCAAGGUGUCUGCACAGACUUCUAGUCCCAGAAUCUGUAAAUUUAAGUGUAAAUGAAAAUAAACAAAUUAUGACUUAGAAUUGGGUUUUCUCAGAAAUCUGCAUUCCAUCAUUGAAAGUUCUAUGGUUAUGAUACCUUCAGUGUAUAGUCAGUGAUUACAUUCUCCUUCUGGCCUUCCGUUGCCACUGCCUGAAAUAUUAAAAACCAAUAAUGUAAAUCUCACUCACCAUCAAACCAAUAAGUACCUUAAGAAAUUCCAAGGAUAAGAGAUUUUGCUCUGCAGAACUGGUUAAAAUUUCACUCAAAGUAGCUUCUGUCUCACCUUCAUGAAGACAUCGAUAUCAGGAUCAGGCUUAAUAUUUGCUGCCUUCUCUCUUCUUGAGAGCUCUGCUAACAUGUCUGCGAAUAGCCAAAUAAAAGUCAACCUCCUGGCUUAUGCAAAUUUCAUAUAACUAAAUUCACAAGCUUCAAAAACAAAGAAAAUAAAAGUAAAAGGCAAUGAAUGGUUUAGACCAACCAUAUCGAUCUCCAACACCCUGGCAUCUUGCAGAGAAGGCCAAGGUUUCCCGUACAGUCAUUUCUCCUAUAUGGGUAUCAUGUUGGCUGAUGUAGGUUGCAGUUCUCUGGGGUACAAAUUCAUUCAUGCCAUGACCAUUGUAUGUCACCUUUCCCGUAACCUAAAAGCAGGAAUUUCAGUUUCCAAAUUGGAUAUGAGAUUAAACAGCUAAAAAUUGAAUAUUCAUUAAAGAACAAAAGCAAUAAUUUUUUUUUCAUUCAACCUUUAGACUGGAAUCAAGCUUUCCGGACAAAGCCAAUAAGAGAGUGGUCUUUCCAGAACUUGGAGGACCCAAAAGCAAUGUCAUUCUGCAGAAAAAAAAUAUGCACAAAAGAUUGAGUAUGGAUCUUCAGGAUAUUCUAAAUUGGAGAAAGUAAAAAAAUCCAUUUGAUAGAUAUAUAUAUAUAUAUAUAUAUAUAUAUAUAUAUCUCAAUUAAUUUUUUUACAGAAAAAAAAAGAAAAAAAAUCAUAUUCUCACCUUCGAGGUUUGAUGAUUCCACUAACAUCGUGAAGAAUAGUGAGUUUCUUCUUUCUACUCGGAAGAAUCCGAAGAGUGUUCAAGAUAUCCUUUAAAACAGAAAGAAAAAUUAUAAUCUAAAAACAAACUUUCCCAAGAGAGUAUUUAUUGCUUAGCUAGUGAUCUGUAUUUGCAUUUUAGUUACCUCAAUUUGAUUAAAAGCAGAAUAAAUGAAUGAAGGCAAAGCUCUGCUUCCUACAUGAGCUUCUGCAUCAAUGGUAAGAUGCUCAAAUCUAACUUCAAUUUCGGGAAGAUCAAUCCCAACUCUGAAAAAUGAAAUAGACAUGCAAACCCAUUACUAAAAAGUCAAAGGAAGAUGUUUGGUUGUGAAGAAAAUGCAGGACUAUCAGUCACAUUUAAGGUGGAUUCUUUCUUUUCCACUGUUUUCAAUGUUAAAAAAGAAAAAGAAAAACGGCAAGAAAGGCAAGAGAAGAGGAGAAAUCGCACCUAUCUAUGCGAUUCCUGAGCUUCAACAAGAACUUCUCAUUGUCCUCUUCGGCAAUUUUCACCAACCGCUCCACUAAAUUCUUCUUUUCCUGAAACCCAAGGUUGUGUAUAUCAACUUCACUGGCCUCACCCGCCGAACCCAUCAGCAAGCCUUUCCUCAUCCGAUUGUAGGUGGGAAGUUUCUCGAGGGCGGCCCAUUUCAAAGCUUCCUCAUCAUCUUCAUCCCUCGAAGAACGGGAGAAAACCUCCUCACCAGAGUUCCUCCAUAUGGAAGAACUGUCCUUCCUUAAACUACCACCGGCUCUAUAAAUUUCACCUGUUGCCAUUGCAACACGAAACGAGGAACCCUCCUGCAAAACCCACCAAAACCCAGAAACCUUUCCUACAAAUUAGGGAGAACAAACCCAAAUUUUGAACUCUAGAGCUGAAAAGCUCAAAAUAAGAGAUGGUUCCCCUCCCGCUUUUCCCUGUGCAUGCAAUUGAUUCCGUCUCUUUGUAUUGCUAAAACUUUGUUGUAUGUUGGAAAAACACGAAGAAUGGAAGGUUUAUAUACUGAUUGGAAGAACAGAAAAAUGAGGCCACCCAUAAUUUUCAAGACUACUAAACGUCUUCGUAAUCGCAAUCGUAACUGCUGUUGUAUGCAAAUGCCACGAUGUUUGACCCUUCAAAGUCUUAUUUCACAAUUCGUAAUUUUCAGAUUUCCAGUACCUUGUUUGUCAAGGAACUCAAUAAUCAUUAAAUGUUUCCCAACUGCCAAACCAACUAACUUUCCCGCCCGCCGAAAUUGCACUGUGAAAGAUUUAUAGCAUUUUAUUUAUACUCUAGUUUAAUGACAUGAGACUUUCGGUUUGGAUUGCCUAUAUUAUUUUUAGUAAUUUACCUUAUAUCUUUAAAAUUAUUUCAAAAAAAAAACCCAUAAUAUUAAUUAUUAUAUAAGUUGGAUUUAUUAAAUAUUAAAUAACAUAUAAAUUAAUAUUAAUCAUAAAUUCCCAUAAUAUUAAUAAUUACAAAAGAGUACAUUUAUCAAAAAUUAAAUAAUAUAUAAAUUAAUAUAAUUGUAUAAUCAAUUCUAAAUUACACAUUAUUUAAUUAAAUCUAAAAAUAUUUUUAAAAUAUCAAAAUCAAGCCCUAAAUAACUCACCACUUUUUAAAAAAUAUUUAAUAAAAUAUCAAUUAUUUAUCUUCUUAUUAUUUUUUUAUGAUAUAUAGUAGAAUUUAAAGUGAAAUUUUAAAUUAACACACCAAAAAUUGUUUUAGAAGGAAAAAAAAUAUUUUUUUCUGAUAAUAUUUUUUAAAAUAUAUAUAUUUUUAGUCUAAAAUAUUUUUAAAGAAAAAAUCAACCUUUUGAUCAAAUUUUAAAAUAUUAUUAAAAAAUAAAAAUUAUUUAUAAUAUUAAAAAAAUUCAAAAAAAAUAUUUUAAUAAAAACAUUUUAAGUAGAAAUACUAUUUCGUAAGAUACAAGAUAAGAAUCGCACAUAAAAGCAUUAUAAAUUAUUAGAAUCGCAUCGCAUAAAUCAUACUAAAUCUAACAACUAACCAAACUCAUCCUCUCUAAAUUUCAAUUUGGUCUCUUCUCAAUUUAUUUUUGGAUUGCUUUUCAUCUAGAAAUAGCAACCACAUAAAGCAUAGGCCAAAUACUCUAAAAAUAGGUAGAUUUCUCAUUUCUCACAUGUAGCAUCUAGAAAAAAAAACCGGUAGGGUUGGCAGAAAUAUAGGAACCACAUAAAGCAUAGGACAGAUGUUAUAAAGAUAGGCAGAUUUCUCACAUGUUAGCAUCUAGAAAAAAAAACGGGUAUGGGCUGGCAGAAAUAUAGGAAGGUGGUGGUGUGUAACCAAGACUUUCAUUAUCCAAAUUCACAUUCUUAUGGGAAAAACGUGAUUGACUUCGACACUUGAAAAAAAAAAAACAAUGGAAAGAAAAAGGGAAAUCAUCUACCCAAAUACUUGAAUGAUGAAAUCAAAUCUUUGAUCAUAUCUGCUAGUUUGGAAAGUUCAGUUUGACAACUACAUUGAAGAAGAAAAAAAAAAUUAAAACAUUACAGGUUGUUUGUGAUUUAAAAAUAAUUUUUAAUUUUUUAAGAUUUUUAAUAUUAUUUUUGUCAUUAUUUUUCGAAAAUAAUAAUAAUUUUUAAAAAAUAAGAGUUAUUUUUAUCGAUUUUUAAAAAUAAAAAAAAAAUAUAGAUCUGUUUGAUCAUAUUUUCUUAAACUUAUUUUUAAAUUGAUUAAAAUAAAAAAAUAAAAAAAAUAUUAAAAAUACAUAUAAAAAUGGUUUAUUAAUUUAAAAUAUUUUUUAUUUUUUAUCUUCUAUUUUUUCUCAUUAUUUCAUUUUCAUUUUCCACUUCAAAAUUUUCAAUAUUCAACUAUUGAAUUCCGUACACUUUUUUUUUUAAUGAAAAAGAUGAGUUUUGACUUUUGACACUUUUUCAAAAAAGAUGCGUUUUGAUCCCUUCCCUAUAAUAAUAAAAAAAGAAAUAGUAAAUUUAUUGACGUCACUCCAUGCAUCAUCUUCCUUAAAAGUACAAAUCGUCCUCCUCUUCUUCUCUUACUAUGUUUUUUUUUUGUUUUCAAUUUAUUUAAAGAAAAAAAAAAAUCUUUGGUGUCCGGUGGAAUCAAUCGAAUGAACGAGUGGCUUCUAUUAUUACAAAUUUGAAAAUUUGGCUUAUUUUAUUUUUAAAUAUAGAAAAAAGGCUACAUGAUAACUCCAUAAUAUAUGGAACAUGCAUAUGCCACCCUUUUUGACCCUUCAAAUUCUUAUGUUCUCCGUUCAUAAUUUUCACGUGUGUUCAAGGAAGUAGGCAAGCCUACGUUAAACAAUAAAAAAGAUGUUUUAAAUUUUACCAAAAAAAAAAAAAGUCAAAGGAUUUUUUCAAAAGAAUCUUAAGAAGUAAUUGGACAUCUCAAUAAGAAAUUUUUAAAACUAUAAAUGUAAAAUAUUUUGUUGGCAUUUUAUUUAUAAUUUAAUAAACGUUUUCAAACUUUGGGUUUUUGGAUUACAUGUUUGGAUUAGUAAUUGAAAUGUUGGGAAAUAUCAACGAGGUUCGCCAUGAAUAUGGGAUCAAAAGUCAAUAAACGAUGUUUCAUUAGUUAAGGUUGCUGGCUCUCUUGGUCAAACUCCCUAAAAAAAGUUUAAGUUCCAAAAGGUUUGGGUUGAAGCUUGGCUACCACUAGGGUGAAUUCAAUUAAUAUAUGUGCACAAGUAUAUAUUAAAAUCCAUUAUUAAAAAAAUAUUUUAAUAAAUAAAUUAAUUCUACUUAUUUUAUUUAAUUGAUUACUAAAAUAUAAAAACCAUCAUUAUAAUUUUUUAACAAGACUUUUUUUUAUAUCAUUUAUGUGAUAAUUAAAUAUUAAAAAUAUAAAUAGGAUAAAAAAAUGCAUAUAAUUUUGAAUGUUUUUAUUUUAAAAUAUUGAAAAUAUAAAUUUAUUUGAAAAUUGUUAAAAUAUAAUAAUAAUAAUAAUAAUAAUAAUGAAGUUCUAAUAUUUUAUAAAUUAAAAUUAAUUUAAUAAGAUAAAUUAUUAAUAUAAUUUUAAUUAUUUAAAUAAAUCAAUGUCAAUAGCAAAAAGUUGUCACCAUAAGUAAUAAAAUUUUAAAAAUUAAAACUCAAAUAAAAUAUUUUAUAUAAGUCUUAAAAUGUAGUUAAUUUUUUUUAUUUGAAAUGUAAUAAAAUUUUUAAUUUUUAAAAUAAAUGAAUAUAAAUAUAUUAAAGGAAUUUGAGAUCAUUUUUUCUAUAAAAAAAUUUGAUAAAUAUUGUCCUUGACCAUACCUAUGUUAGUUACACCUACAAAAUAACUUUAACAUAUGUUUUUUUACUUAUUUUAUCAUUUAAAACUUUUUUAAAUAUUUUCAUGAAUUUUGAACAAUUUUCGUCUUAUCGAUAUUUCUGAUAUAUCCAUAAAAUUCAAAUACUGAUAUAUUCGUAAAAUCCAAUUAUUGAUAUAUAUAUACAUGUUUAUAGAUAUUUUCAUCUUUGCUUUGGAUGCAUUUUUCUAUUUUUUGUUUUUAAAUAGAAUACUUUAAAUGUAGAGAAAAAUAUAGGAAUUCUUAUAUAAAAAGUAGGUACAUAUCUUGUAUACAUAAAAACACUUUUUAAAUUUUAAAUAAGUAAACAUUUUCACUUCCAAAAAAUUUUAAAGUUUUGAAAAAAAAAUUAAAAUAUAAAGUAAAUUUGGACUUUUUGUAUAAGAGUUGUUAUAUUUUAUAUAGAAAUUUUUAUUUUUAAAAAUAAAAAAUAAGAAGUGUAUCUAAUAGCUAGACACCUAAAGUAUUUUUUUUACAAUUUUAUUUAUACUCUAAUCUAAUGUUUAUAGAUUGAGUUUGUAUUCAAGUUUAUAUUAUGAUCGAUAUAUUAAGGGAUGAAGCUAAAGUAACUACCGAAAUGUUAUUUAGGUGAGAAAUUAUAAAAAUUAUGAUUGUAAUAAAUAUUUGAUAAAUUUUCAUAAUUUAAAAAGUAGUUAACAAUACCCCUCAUUAUUAUUAAACAAAAUAAAAAACAAUGGACAUUAAUUAUAAAAAGAAAAAGAAAAUAUAUCUUAUAUCAAAUUGAAUAAGAAAAAUAUUAAAUACAUUGGUCAAGAAUAUUUUAGAUUUUAUAAAUAAAAAAAAUCAAAAAAUUAAAAGAUUUUUUCUUCAAAAGAAAUUUAAAAAAAAAAAAGUUAAACAUUUCAAUAAGAAACUUCUAAUAAUUUUGUUUUAUUAAAAAAAUCCUAAAAAUAAAUUUUUAAAAAAAUCAAUAAUUCCACUUAUAAAUUUCUUCUCUUUUUCAAAUAGCUAAAGAUAAUUGACUGAGGAAACCUUUCUAAAAAUAUAGUUUGGUGAACUCCACAAGUAAACUAUGAAUAACUAAGAAGAGUUUCGGAGUUAUUGUUUGUAAUUUAUAAAUAUCAUAUUAAGUUAUACAAUUUUUAUAAUUAAAGUUAAAUUCAAUAUCUCGUAAUUUGAGUCAUUACAUAAGAUUGAAUUUAUCAAAUAUUAGAUAACAUAUAAAUUAAUAUUAAUCAUAAAUUCCCAUAAUAUGAAUCAUUACAUAAGAUUACAUCUAUCAAAAAUUAAAUAACAUAUAAAUUCAUACAAUUUUGUUGGCAAUUCUAAAUUAGUGAUUAUUUGAUUAAAUCUCAAAAAAAAAAAUUAAAAAGUCAAAAUCUAGCUAUAAAAAAUUCGCCACUGAAAAAAUUUAAUAAAAUAUUGUUAAAAUAACGAGAAUAGGUAAUUUAAAAAAAACACUAACAGACAAAAAACACAUAAAUUUACGUGAAAAACUCUAAAUGAGAAAAAACACAAGUAGAAAAGACAGAAAUCCAUUAUAUCAAAAUAUUGGUAUAAGAGGGAAAAGUUGCCAGCAAUUACAGAAGAAACAUAAUUAUCCUAAUCCUAAAACUAUACAUCAUCAUAAUCCUCCCAAAAAUCUCAUAAUUAUAGUUUCACUACAUAUGUUGUACCACAAGGUUUUUGAAUCGGAUUAAAUAGAAUUCGGAUUACCAAAUUCUAAUAAAUGUCAACGAUAAAGUUACAAAAAAUUUAUUUAUUAUAAAUUUUAUGGUAUAUAGUGGGAUUUAAAUAAAAUUAAUUAUAUAAAUUUUCAAUAAAAUUAAAUAAAAACAAAUAAAUCAUCGAUAAAACCUAUAUACAUUCAUAUUUAUUUACUUAUUUUUUUUAUUUUGAUCUUCAACAAGUUUUCAAAAAUAAAACAUUCAUUUUUUCAAAUAGAGUUCAAGUGUGACCAUGAUGCAUAUCACCUUUAUGAGAAUUGCAGGCCCACACUCAAAAUUUUAAAUAAAUAUUUUUAAAUAAUAAUAAUAAUAAUAACAACAAAAAGAAUAAUAAUUAAAUAAAUAAAUAUGAAAUGGGAAUUUCGGAAAAUUAUUCUAAAAUGAAAGUUUUAAAAUUAUUUGAGAAAUGGAAUUAUGAAAGGAGUUUUGGAAAAUUGGAGUUAGGAAAAUUGUUAAAAUAAUAAGAAAAUAAAUAAAAAGUCAAAAUCUUAAUGGGGCCAUGUGCCAAAGUGACCACACUUAGAGGUGGGCCAAGGUCGAAAAAGGUUUUCAAAUGAUGUUUGAACAUCCUGGCAGCCCAAAGAAAAAUAAAACAAAAUCUUGCAACGUGCACAUCCAUGAAUUUACAUCUGUGGCCCCACCAUUCAAUAUCACCGCCAAACCAGAAGAAAACCCACAAGUCCGCAGGCCGUCCUAUGCCAUCAGCAAUAAGCACAAGCUCUGAUUUCUCAAAUUACAAAAUAGCCCCACGGAAAGAAAUUCAAUUUCGAAUCUCCACCAAAAACUCCAAUAAUUGCCUAUCGACUUCACCCAAACUGCAAAACACUAAGGCUAUGUUUGAUUUCCGGAAAGUACGAAGGAAAGAAAAAAAAUGCUAAAGAAAAUGAUUUUCUCAUAUUUGAUUAUCCUAUGAAAAAUAUCAAAGAAAAUAAAAUAUAAUUAAAAUUAAUUAAAAAUUUAUAUAUUUUUAAAUUAUUUAAUCUUUAUAUUGAUGAGUUAAAAUAAAUAAAAUGAGUUUGAAGUAACAAAAAAAUAAUUUAUCAACUUUUAAUCUAUUUUUUUAUUUUUCUUCACUUUUUCUUUCCUUCUAGUUUUCCUUUGUAUUUUCUUUCCCUCGUAUUUUCCCUCAAAUUUUCCGGGAACCAAACAUAGCCUAAUAAUUCAACCACCCUCCAGACCACGCGUAGACGCUCCACUUCCACAUAUUUUGGCACGUAUUCUGUCAAGAUUAUUGGAUGCUGCCCAUGAGGCCUGUUAAUUAGUCGAAUGGUUCUCAACCGAGCCUAAAGCUUUGUCGAGUCAUAACCAGCUUCCCCGUGUUGUUGGCUCUCAGUGAGGGAUACUUCGGACUGAAGACCUCUCUACCAUAUCUCUCAUAAUGUAUCAUGGGCAGAGAAGCAAUGGAGAUUGGAUUGAUUCUUCUUGCUUUCAGGAGCUCUAUUAACUCCAAUUCCAACUUAACUGGAAAUUCCGAACCAAUAAGAGUUAUGGGACCCGUACCCACACCGGAAUUUUCUACUAUCGUCUCCGGAUAACACGCCACCGCAUGGGUCAAUCAGGUUCGUUUUGUAUGCUGUCACUGUAAAUACUCUGAAUAAUCCCCCAAAAAUCUCAUAAUUAUAGUUUCACUACAUAUGUCAUACCGCAAACUUUUUGAAUCGUACUAAAUAAAAUUCGGAUCACUAAAUUCUAAUAAAUGUGACAAAGUUACAAAAAGUUUAUUUAUUAUAAUUUUUAUGGUUUAAGUGGGAUUUAAAUAAAAUUAAUUUAAAAUUUUUCAAUAAAAUUAAAUAAAAACAAAAUAAAUCAUCGAUAAAAACUAUAUACAUUCAUAUUUAUUUACUUUUUUUUUUAUUUUGAUCUUCAACAAGUUUUCAAAAAUAAAACAUUCAUUUUUUCAAGGGAGAAUUAUCUUUUGGGGGUAGAUGGGCCCUCAAAUUAACAAAAGGUUCAUAUAACUCUUGAAAUUGAGUUGAAGGAUAUGAAAUAAUAACGGACAAAUAUACCCUUUAGGAACACAUAUAAAAUAUUUUAUAAAAUUAAGUUAAAUAAUUUUUUUUCAAUAACUUUUUUUUUUUCAAAAAUACUAAAUUAAAUAAAAGUAGUUUUCAAAAAUAUUAAAUUAAAUAAUUUUUUUUUUCAAAAAUAUUAAAUUAUUUUUUUUUCAAAAAUAUUAAAUUAAAUUAAAGUAUUUAAAAAAAUAUUAAAUUAAAUAUUUUUUUAAAUAUUAAAUUAAAUAAAUUUAUUUUUAAAAAAUAUUAAAUUAAAUAAAAGUAUUUUAAAAAAUAUUAAAUUAAAUCAAAAAUAUUAAAUUAAAUAAAAGUAUUUUUCAAAAAUAUUAAUUUUUUUCUCAAAAUCAACAAAGGGUAUUUUUGGAAAUAUUGAAAGAUGAUAUCCUUCAACUCAAUUUCUAUACUUUCAUUGGGUCUUGGGCUCAAUUUGAAGAGUUACAUGGACCUUUUGUUAAUUUGGGGGUCCAUCUACCCCCAAAACAUAAUUCUCCUUUUUUUCAAAUAGAGUUUCAAGUGUGACCUUGAUGCAUAUCAUCUCUAUGCGAAAUGCAGGCCCACCCUCAUGGUGUUCUCUAUUCCCUACUAAAAUAAUUAUUCCUUAGUGGAGCUAAAUAUCCCCAACUCAUUGAGGCAUCCCCAACAAUUGUCAUUAUUACAUCCUUUAUUUCCCAACAACUUUCAUGAAGAGGUAAAGGUACUUUGACAUUCUGCCUAAUAUAGCCAUGGUAAGGCUUCUUAUGAGCAUUUUGCAGUUUGGUUUGUGUAUGGGGAUCAAGCAACUUUUUAAUGUAGAGAAGACUAUACAUUGUGCUAGCAGAUUCUUCAAUGCAAACAUGUUAAUAUAAGAAUACAAACCUUAUAUUUUUAUCUACCAUAUAUUGAUAGGGAUAUUCCAAAUAGUUUCCAAUAUUCUAUAAGAUAUUUAAUUGUAAUGACAUAUACUUAGGAAUUUGAGAUACUUUCUAAUAAUUUUAGUCUCGUAUCAAAUUCAAUUAAGUUAAUCUUUCAUCUUUUCAUGAUACACGCUUUCAAAAGACUUGUUUUAACCAAAUUCUAACUCCACAUCAUGACCAAAUCUUUACUUCACAUCAUAACUUCUUUAUACGCCACACUCUCCUCAUGUGUCACAUGGUUCCUUUUGUGCACCUCAUGUGUCACAUGGUUCCUUUUGUGCACUAUAGUCUUAUCAUGUGUCACGAUUCCCUCGUGUGCUAUGGAUUUAAAAUCAUUUUUUUCCAUUUUAAACAUGUUAUUUCUUUAUAGCAUUUACUGUCUUUUUCAUUCAAGUUUCCUUUUCCUUUACUUUUAGUAGGACAUUGUUAUAAAACUCUACCUCUCACUUGGUCCGUAGGUUCCUUAUUACACUACCAACACACGCUCUAUUCAAAUUAUAGUCUAGUCUCAAUGUUAAUUUUGCAGAGUUAGACGAUACCCUUACGUGUAUUUCACCCUUGUUUGGAUGGCAAAAAAAAGUUUAGGAACUCACAACGAAGUAGGGAUUGAUGUUGAAUUUGUUAUGGGAUGAUGAAUAGAAUACUUUCCUUCUUACUCCUCUAUUCUACAUAAAUGCACAUACGGACAAGUUCGGUAUAAGUUUGUACUAACUCAAUUGGUAAGUGUCACUUUUUUAAUUAAUAGAUGUUGACAAUUUUGUCUUAAAUUAUAUAUUUUAGUUUUAGGAAAAUCGGUAUAUGUAGAGUUUAGCUUUUAGAAAACUCCCUUUUUAGGUUGACUAAGACUAGGAACUUAUUGUUUAGGAUUAGGUCUAUAAAUAUGUGGCCUACAUAGGAUUUUUUUAAGAGAGUGAAAAGAAAGUAAGUGCAUCCAAUUAAGUGAAAUUGUGUCCUUUUUCAUAUUUAGUAGAUUAUUUAACGUUUGAGAGACCACAUUUGUGUGACUGAUUUAUUUAUAUUUGCAUAAGAAUUUUACUCUCUUUAAAGAAUAAGUAUAAAGAGACAAACUUAAAAUAGGUAAUAAAAUAUUAAUUUGGGGAUUAAUUCAAAGACCACACCUUCUCUAUUUCACUUUAUUUUUUUACUGCAUUUGGAUGUUGUGAUUUUCCUAAAAAGUGGUAUCAGAGCCGUGCAGAGAUAAUGGAAAAAUUAUUUUGAUGAAAAUGUCUAACAUAAAAUAUAAUAUUGAGUUCUUUGAUGGAAAUAAUAAUUUUAGUAUUUGGCAAAGUAUUAUUAAAGAUAUUUGGGUACAACAAGAACUUCUCAAAGUGUCACAAUAAAAAAAAAAAAAAAAAAAUCAGAGAACAUGAAGAUUAAUUAGAAGCAAGAAUGGUAAGUGCUAUUUAUCUAAUUUUGAUUCCUAAAAUAAAAUACAUUUUUUAAAAAUGAGAGAUCUCUUUUUUAUUUAUGAGAAAAUUUAGAGAAAAUUUAUAAGCCAAAAUUCUUAACACAUAAAUUAUAUUUGAAGAAACAAUUAUAUGAGUUGAAGAUAGAUGAAGGAACAAAUGUUAGGAAUCAUACAAAUAAAUUCAAUAAAUGCAUGACUUAGUUAUUAAGGGUAGUGGUCAAGAUUGAUAAGAAUGAUCAAGCUAUUAUUUUCUUAGUGUCUUUACGAAAUUAUAUGAGACAUUGGUGAGUACACAAUUAGUUAGAAAGAUGAUAUUAACCAUUAAUGAUCUAUCAACUACCCUUUAAAUAUUGACCAACCAAGUAAUUCGUCUUGUACCGCACAAGCUUUUGUGGUGAAGUUUGAAUCAAAUCGUGAUAAGAGUAAAUCACAAGGAAGAUAUUAUGAUAUGAGGGAUGAUUGUUCUCAACCACACUUCUAGAGGGAUGUGGAGUUUUACUAUUGCCUCAAAAAAUGACAUAUCAAAAAGUACUAUAAAGAAUUGACAAAACACUUAGAAUCAAAGAGGUAAGCUAAAUUCUAGGAGACUUCAAAUUUUACUAAUAUUGUUGAUAAAAAGUUUGAUACAGAUAAUGUUGUUCUUUUUAUUAUAAUUGAUGAUUUUUUUUUUUUUUUUUUUUACUUUUAGAUUUUGGAUUUUGAAUGUUCUUUUCAUAUGUACCCAUAUUAUAAGUGGUUUGAUACCUAUAAGACUUGCGAUGCUAUUACUAUUAUAAUGGGCAAUGAUUCAAACUAUAAAGCUAUUGGGAUUAGUAUUGGGAAGGUGAAGAUAUUGGAUGGUGUUGUGAGGAUAUUGAGUAAUGUUAAGUAUGCUCCUAAGUCGAGGGGGAGUUCAAUUUCUUUGAAGACUUUGGACAAUUUCAACCAUGACUUUUUUGCUAAAGAAGACAUUAUGAAUAUUAGUAAAGGUGCUUUGAUAAUUAUGAAGGAAGAAAGGUGAAAAUUUCAUACACUUUGAUUGAGAAUACAAUUUUAGAUGCAAUUAUGAUGGUGAAGUCAUGCCAUGAAGUGUCUUAUGCUAGUGUUAAAGAAAUUGUCAUAGCAGAAGAGCACAAAAAAAUACUGGUAGUAGAUGAAAAACACAGAAGUGAGAUGAUCAAGGCUUUGUUUUUGGUUAAAAAUACUUAGUGGCACAAAGAUAAAGACUAAUUGAAAAAGAAAAGUUAUGAAAAAAAGAAUGUUCAUCGAGUCAAAGCUAAUGAGAGACUGAACUUGACAUAUACUUAUUCUCAUUGAUUAUGUGGUGGUGGCAAGGGGUGCAAAGAUGGGUAUCAAGGAAAAAUAACCCUACAUAUAGAUUGAGAAUUUGAAUCAAGAUGGAGAUUAUUAGUAAUUUUGACUUAAAUUAUUUAUUUUUUAUUUUUAGGAAAGCCAAUAUUUGUUGAGUUUAGGUUUUAGUAAAUUACUUUUUUAAAUUUGACUAGGAUUAGGAAACUUAUUUUUAAGGUUAGGUAUAUAAAUAUAUGGUUUUACAUUAGAUUUUAGGAGAAAGUGAAAAAAUGAGCGAAAAAUAUAGAAAGAUAGACAAAUUAUGUAUUGGGUUUUGGUAGAGUGACGUUGAGAAGGUUUGAGUAUAUAUUUUUUAAGUUACUAAUAAAUUUGAUCUCUCUCUCCCAUGAAAUCAUGUAAAUCUUUUAUCUUCUCUAUUUUACUUUAUUCUUUAUAUUGUCUUUGGGUGUUGCAAUUUCCCAAUAAUAGAAUGGUUUGAUCUUAUUUUGUUUCUAAGUAAAAUGUAAAUAAGUUAUCAGGUUAGCAAAUUAUUCAUAUACAUUAUUUUUUUUAGUCAUAUCAUCCAUGAACUUUUUCAAGGUGGCAACCUAUUUGGAAAAACCACAUUUGAUUUAAAAAAAGGAGAAUUGUGUUUUGGGCCAAUUGGGCUCAAAAAUUAAUCAAAGAUCCAUAUAUCAUGCACAUUUAAGCCCAAGACUCAAAUAAAGUGUAAAAAAUUAAGUUGAAUGAUAUUAUCCUUCGUUAAUCCCUCAAAUACCCUUAACACCUACAUAGAUAUAUAGUAAGUGUAAAUUUCAAUUUUUUUUUAAGUGUUUUUUUCUCUUUUCUAUUCCCAAUUAAGUAUUACUCAUUUCUAACUUUUUGUUUUUUCUUUUCUUUUUUAAAGAUAUUGAAUCUUUUUACUCUUAUUAUAAGUAAGGAUAAAAAAUCUUCAUAUAAAAUUUAAUGGAUAAUCAAUGAAUAAAAUUUAAUUCUUUUUAUUAUUUUCAUAUAAAAAAUAGUACUAAACAAGGGUUUCAAUUUUUAUUUUUAAAAAUAGUUUUCAUUUUUUAAUUAAAUGUUUUUUCAAAAAGAAAUAUAAAAAUAUAAAUCAUAUUACCAUUUUUUAGAAAGUAUUUUUUUUAAAUAGUUUUUGAACGUAAUUUUUCUUUAUUUAUAAUUUAAAAUAGAAAAUAAUGUUGAUUUCAAUUAUUUAAAAAAAAUUAAAAAAAAACAAUGAAAAAUCCAAAUGGUUAAAAUAGAAUUAUUAUGAUUGCAUGAAUCGUAGUGCUAUAAAGACCAAAAAAGUUUAUAUGAAAAGUUAAUGAGUAUUUUGAUCUUUUGAUAUCUUAUAUCAUUUCCAUCAAUUAUGUAAGUUAUAUGGACGAAAUCUUAAUUUUUUUGUCUAACUCGCUCAAAAUUCCAUUAUCCCUUUAAAAAAUAAAAUAAAAAUCAAAUCCUCCUUAAACAAAGGAAAGAAAAAGAAACAACAAAUCUUGAAGUGAGGUUUCAACAGAUCUUUGUUCAAUAAAGCAGCCAAGCAUUAUGGGGCUUAGUUGAAAGUACUCAUUUUCAUGAGUCCAAACAAUGAAAGAUUUGAUAUCCAGAAGCAUUCACCUAGUCAAAAAAUUUAAUGAGUUUUUCAGCUUGGUAGAGUCAGGUCAAAUCCACAUGUAGUGAUUCUACAAUUCAGAAUAUAACUGCUUCACUUGGAAAUGAUCAUCAGGAUACCAAUGCAUGAGCACCAAAUCUUCUGAACUACUUUUCUUCAUGUGUCCAGCGUAUAAGUAGAAAAUGGAUCAGUAAGUGCAGGCAUGGAACUGUUGGCAAUAAGUCUGAUCUCUCUGAAGAAGGCCUAAGCUUCCCUUUUUGCUAGUUCAAGUCUAUAGAUGUAAUAGUUCUUGGAAAUGGUAUCUGAUUUCAGACUGGUUGGUGUUGAAACCAUACCAUUUUCUUGCUGUCAUUGUGUCUUAAUGUUUUCAGCUACUUAAAGAAGAGACUGAAAGUGGGGCACCAUAGUGGUAAGUUGGUAAUCGGGGAUGAAAGAAAUGCUCAAGGUUGUAUCAGUCUUGAAUUUCAAAUUGCAUAAAAUUGGCAGAAAAAAAAAUACAAGAAUUUAAUAAGAUAGAUGUUACCUGCUCAUUGCAGGGCUAUGAAAACUCUCUAAUAGCCUAUACAUCAAACGAAACCAGUUUUUUUCAUCUUAAAAUCAAAUGUGGAACUGAAAAGGUUACACACAUAUACAUUAACCAAGAGUCUCUGAAGAACUUUUGCUCCGUGUGACUUCUUAUCGCCUUUGGAAGUUCAAUGCCUUAAUGGCAUAGGCAAAGAUAAAUAAGAAAAGCACCACAAACCCAACGACCACAGCUGCAACCACUCCUAGGAAAUCAUGUUUGAAUCCAAAGUAGUCAUUCAAGUAGUCUUUCACUGUUACACCUGUGUUUAGUUCUUCUGUUAUAUCUCCAAACUGUGAUGUAACCAAUCCAUACAAAGUCCAUGAAACUGGGCAUAUCCAAUAGUACCAUCUCCACCACACGGGUAUUCUCUGUAUUCAUCAAGGAAGAAAUGCAUCAAAAUGAGUCAUUCCUGUAUCCAUGUGGCUAAAGAAAGUUGCAAUUUAAAGAACUAUGGGUUGAGAGCACUUACAUUUCGUGGGACUAUAAAACCUGAAAAGAGGUUCCACAAUCCAUAAAAUGCUGCGGCAACAAUGGAAGCGAUAUUUUGAUUUGGUGUGGCAGCCACAGCCAUCAUGCCAUAGAAGGUGAAGUACAUUAAGGUGAAGAACAUGAAAAACAGAUACCAGAAGAACUUAGCGGCUGUCCAUUGAAAUCCAAUCAUUGCAUAAACUAUAAGACCAUACACCACGGCUUGUGAAAAGAUAUAUGGUAUCUCAACU